This 253-nucleotide ribosomal RNA is filed under the name uncultured bacterium. Its description in RNAcentral is "partial 16S ribosomal RNA". It matches the Rfam family "Bacterial small subunit ribosomal RNA", at positions 524 to 776 of the family's 1533-position model. The record is from RNAcentral.
UACGGAGGGGGCUAGCGUUAUCCGGAAUUAUUGGGCGUAAAGAGCUCGUAGGCGGUUUGUCGCGUCUGCCGUGAAAGUCCGGGGCUCAACUCCGGAUCUGCGGUGGGUACGGGCAGACUAGAGUGAUGUAGGGGAGACUGGAAUUCCUGGUGUAGCGGUGAAAUGCGCAGAUAUCAGGAGGAACACCGAUGGCGAAGGCAGGUCUCUGGGCAUUACCUGACGCUGAGGAGCGAAAGUGUGGGGAGCGAACAGG